RNAcentral lists this non-coding RNA (261 nucleotides) under Bacillus sp. (in: firmicutes). RNAcentral's name for it is "Bacillus sp. T-box sequence". It matches the Rfam family "T-box leader". Rfam says of the family: Uncharged tRNA acts as the effector for transcription antitermination of genes in the T-box leader family. T-boxes are found upstream of many aminoacyl-tRNA synthetase genes and some amino acid biosynthetic genes usually in Gram-positive bacteria. The record is from RNAcentral. Lineage: Bacteria; Bacillati; Bacillota; Bacilli; Caryophanales; Bacillaceae.
AUAACGACUGUGAAAGGACGAGUAGUAGUAGGACGUAGACAAAGCGAGUCAGGGGUGGUGUGAGCCUGAUACGAAGCCUAUUAUGAAGAACCUCCUGGAGUCGCUAACCGAAAUCCUUUAGAGGAAAGUAGACUUAGCCGUGAACUUCGCCGUUAAAGAAGAACAGUAUCGAGAUCUCUCUAAUCUCCGUACUAAAAUAAGUGAGCAACCUCUGUUGCUAAUUUGGGUGGUACCGCGGAACCAAAGCCUUUCGUCCCAGUU